CCUUCGGACCAAAAUUGUUGUAUGGCUUGUGUGGGGCGAGGGGCACAACGUGAAUCCGUAAUAGGCCAUGGCGGGUGUCUUUUUAAGCAUCCAAGCCAUACAACAAUUUGGGGUUGGGAGCUGACGGAUAUAAAUCGGUGUAUGCUUAUUGUCGGAUGAUAUGGUUGCUUAUCGAUGUAUGGCUUGUGUGGGGCGAGAGGCACAASGUGGAACCGUAAAAGGAUCUGCAAGGGUUUCCCAAACCACACAAGCCAUACAUCGGUUGUAAGUCGGAUGUCGCUUAUCGAAGUUUGGCUUGUGUGGGGAGAGAAGCACAACGUGGAACCGUAAAAGGAUCUGCAAGGGUUUCCCAAACCACACAAGCCAUACAUCGGUUGUAAGUCGGAUGUCGCUUAUCGAUGUUUGGCUUGUGUGGGGAGAGAAGCACAACSUGGAACCGUAAAAGGAUCUGCAAGGGUUUCCCAAACCACACAAGCCAUACAUCGGUUGUAAGUCGGAUGUCGCUUAUCGAUGUUUGGCUUGUGUGGGGAGAGAAGCACAACGUGGAACCGUAAAAGGAUCUGCAAGGGUUUCCCAAACCACACAAGCCAUACAUCGGUUGUAAGUCGCAAAACAACCACAAUUGUUGUAUUGCUUGGAUGUGUGCGAGAGGCACAACGUGAAUCCGUAAUAGGCCAUGGCGGGUGUCUUUUUAAGCAUCCAAACCAUACAACAAUUAGGGGGGAUUAUUCUAGCGGGUUUCGUUCUCUUCGUAUCGUGC
Molecule: unclassified non-coding RNA, 760 nt
Filed under: Lessingia nemaclada
Lineage: Eukaryota; Viridiplantae; Streptophyta; Magnoliopsida; Asterales; Asteraceae
Description: partial external transcribed spacer
Source: RNAcentral